AAGUCGUAACAAGGUUUCCGUAGGUGAACCUGCGGAAGGAUCAUUAACACUAUUUCAUUUUAUUGAAAAUUUAUUUUUCAAUAAUUUACUUACCCACAUUUUUGGAUGAAUUAUUUCUUUUUUAUUCUUUUUUAAAUUUUAAACCCAAAUACCAUAUUAUUUCUAACAUUUAUACACAAAGUUUAAGAAAAACAUAAAAAACAACUCUUAACAACGGAUAUCUAGGCUCUC
RNAcentral lists this unclassified non-coding RNA (231 nucleotides) under fungal sp. RNAcentral's name for it is "partial internal transcribed spacer region". The stretch from base 1 to 46 matches the Rfam family "Eukaryotic small subunit ribosomal RNA", at positions 1786 to 1831 of the family's 1831-position model. Lineage: Eukaryota; Fungi. The record is from RNAcentral.